UACGGAGGGUGCAAGCGUUGCUCGGAAUUAUUGGGCGUAAAGGGUAGGUAGGUGGUCUCAUUUGUCAGGGGUGAAAGCCUUGGGCUUAACUCAAGAAGUGCCCCUGAAACGGUGAGACUAGAGUGCUGGAGAGGGUCGUGGAAUUCCCGGUGUAGCGGUGAAAUGCGUAGAGAUCGGGAGGAACACCAGAGGCGAAGGCGGCGACCUGGACAGUUACUGACACUCAACUACGAAAGCGUGGGGAGCAAACAGGAUUAGAUACCCUGGUAGUCCACGCUGUAAACGAUGGGUACUAGGCUUGGUGGGUCUUGACCCCUGCUGAGCCGGCGCUAACGCAAUAAGUACCCCGCCUGGGAAGUACGGUCGCAAGACUAAA
This 376-nucleotide ribosomal RNA is filed under the name uncultured bacterium. Its description in RNAcentral is "bacterial SSU rRNA". It matches the Rfam family "Bacterial small subunit ribosomal RNA", at positions 524 to 898 of the family's 1533-position model. The record is from RNAcentral.